CCCUGAAAGGUCAGAAGGCCGUCUUAUUCUCAAUAUGCAUUUUAUUUUAUUACCCAAUCUGCUCCUGACAUAAAAUAAAUCUCCAAAAAUUAAAUUCUGGCCCUCAAACCCCACAGCAGGACUUAAUUAACCUCACCUUCAAGGUGUACAAUAAUAGAGUAGAGGCAGCCAAGUAGCAACAUAUUUCUGAGUUGCAAUUCCUUGCCUCCACUAUGAGACAAACCUCAGCCAAUCUCCUGCACACAAGAACUCCAAACACCUGAACCGCAGCUGCCAGGGGUUCCGCCAGAACCUCCUCCCCCAGGAGCUUGUUACAAGUGCCAGAAAUCUGGCCACUGGGCCAAGGAAUGCCCACAGCCCGGGAUUCCUCCUAAGUCAUAUCCCAUCUGUGUGGGACCCCACUGAAAAUUGGACUGUUCAACUCACCUGGCAGCCACUCCCAGAACCCCUGGAACUCUGGCCCAAGGCUCUCUGACUGACUCCUUCCCAGAUCUUCUCGGCUUAGCAGCUGAAGACUGACGCUGCCCAAUCGCCUCGGAAGCCUACAGGAUCAUCACAGACGCUCUGGGUAACUCUCACAGUGGAGGAGCCCUGCAAGAAUCCAAGUAAAUAAAGCUAAACCUUCACUACUGAAAACCAGCUUCUAGGUAACUCAUGUAUCAUACACCUUAUAUCCUUGCAUGGAUUCCCCAAAUCUAGUCUCUGAGGGCUUGGAUCUUCCUCUGAUAGUUCUACUUCAUUCUGUCAAAGAUCCAAUUCCCGAAAGAGUUUUUUUCAUCAUCUUCAAACAUCCAGAAUUGGCUCACACAAUUACAGAGGCUGAGAGGCCAUACUAUCUGUCAUGUGCAUGCAGGAGAACCAGGAAUGCUGGUGGUGUAAUUCAGUACAAGUCAGAAGACCUGGGAACCAGGGAGCUGAUGGUGCCCUCAGUGUAUUGGAUGAUACCUGCCAAUACUGGAAAGGCCAUGUGACCACACACCAAGAAGCUAGCUGUCUGCCAGCCAGGAAGAGAGCCCUGACCAGUAAUCAAAUUGGCUGAAGACUUGAUCUUGGACUCCUUGUCUCCAGAAAUAUGUUGGCACUUCUUAGGAAGGAGCCAUCCAUGUCUGAAGAGAAGAAAUGAUAAUUAACUUCAUCAUGUGGAAAGCUUUAGAAGGAAGUAUCUUGUCCUUCUGUCCAAACCCGCCUCCUCCUUACCACCCCCAAUAAAAAUAAAAGCCAAACAAAUAAAACAUUAGCAGUAGCUCUGAGUUUCUUCCUUUCACUUUUUCUCUCUCUUCAUGCCUUUUCUCCUCCAUUCCUUCCUUCUUUCAAAUCAUUUUUACUAGUUUAAGAGAAUAAUUCAAUCUAUAUUUAGAAAUCAGACUUAAAACUUCAAAAAUUAUACUGAAAUAGCUUCCCCUUAAAGGGUGAAACAGUCAUGAUAAAAAUAACAACCGAUAGAAUAAAAUAAUAUAAAAUUAGCUGAGUUUAUAGUUUCUUUUACACCUCCAUAAUUUAUGUGGAUUUGGAAAUACAGACAGUAUACUGAAAACUAAGAAGUUUUCUAUGAAUUAUGAGAAUUUGCAAUCCACAUAGGCUUAAGUCUAAUGUUAGAAGAUAAAACAAAUUGACCUUAAAUAACUUUCUGACAUAACCUCCCCAUUUCAUGGAUGAAAAACCCUAAAGCUCUCAUAAGUAAAGUGAUUUACUUCAGGACACAAACUAGUUGAUUUAGUUUGGAUGUUUGUCCCCUCCAAAUCUCAUGUUGAAAUGGAAUCCCCAGUGUUGGAGGUGGGGCCUGGUGGGAGGUGUUUGUGUCAUGGGGCAGAUCCAUUAUCCUUAUGAGCUGCUUGGUGCUAUCCUUGUGAUAGUGAGUGAGUUCUCAUGAAAUCUGGUUGUUUAAAAAUUUGUGGCACCUCCCCACCAGCCUUGCUCCUGCUCUUGCGGUGUGAUAUGCCUGCUGCCUCUUCACCUUACACCGUGAUUAUAAGCUUCCUGAGGCCUCACCAGAAGCAGUU
RNAcentral lists this long non-coding RNA (2000 nucleotides) under Homo sapiens (human). RNAcentral describes it as "HSALNT0077519". Lineage: Eukaryota; Metazoa; Chordata; Mammalia; Primates; Hominidae. The record is from RNAcentral.